This is a long non-coding RNA of Pezoporus occidentalis (night parrot), 3000 nucleotides long. RefSeq lists it as uncharacterized. The record is from RefSeq and is a predicted model, not a curated record. The transcript has 3 exons. Lineage: Eukaryota; Metazoa; Chordata; Aves; Psittaciformes; Psittacidae.
GAUAAGGGAAAAGCAACCAGUGUCAUGUACCUGGAGUUGCUCAAAGCCUUUGACACUGUCCCACACAACAUCAUCUCUAAACUGGAGAGAUGUGGACUUGAUGGAUGGACUACCUGGUGGAUAAGGAAUUGGCUGGAUGGCUGCACUCAAAGAGUUAUGGUCAACAGCUCGAUGUCCAGGUGGAGACUCGUGGUGAGUGGCAUUUCUCAGGAGUCAGUUCUUAUCUCCUUCUCACCACCACUGCUACAGGGGUGAAAACAUCCAGAGAGGGAGAGCAGAUGUUUGAGGAUGGGAGCUCUCUAAAUGACCACAUGAGUCAAAACCCUGAGAAAACCUGACUUUCUGAGCCCAGAAGAAGGAAAGGAGGCAGUGGGAUCAUGGUCCUCAAAUACCUCCAGAAGGGGGCCAAGGGGCAGACAAAGAAGGACAAACAUCAGGCAGGGAAAACAUUUAAUUUAGCUAAAGGACCAUAUUGACACUAGAGCAAAACAGGAUUGUCUGUCCAUGGGUACAUUUAAUUAGAGGAAAGUUCACAGCCAUUAGAGCAGAAAAAGAAGAAAAAAGCAGAGGUGAGAAAUGAAAAAAGGAAAUCUGUUUUCAGGAUUAAAUGUCAUUUUAAGAAAGGAAGCAUUAAAAGAUGGGAACAGCAGGGGUACGGGGAAGGGCUGGUUGCUGUUAUGCAACUGGAAUCUUUAUUUGCUAUGUUGCAUUUCAACAGGUUUAAUUCCCUUCUCUCCCUUGAGGAAACCGGAUGAGAAGGUUGUCACAAUGGGCAGCUGUGAUUUCCAGUUGUGAAUCCCCUGGCCCCAUGGAAUUGUUUUGCUUGCAAUGCCAACAGCUCUGCUCAUCCAUUUCAUGUCCGUCUUCCAUCGAUCUCUGUAUGGGUGUCACUGCCAUGCCAUGCCCUUGCACAGGGCAGAGAGAAGGAAUAUCCCUGCUCUGGGGAGGCAGGACAGCCUAGGGCAUAAGGCAGGAGAGGAUAGGGAAAUAGGGCAGAGGGCAGAGGACAAAGAAUAAGCCUAUUGUCUUAGCUCUGGACCUGGACCUUCCUCCCAGCUGCACACUGUGAAUCUGAACAAGAAGAAGGCAAAUGGUCUAACCAGGGAGCCACCAUGGCCAUAGAUUAUUUUACAGCUAAAAAAAAGUUUAGUGGGCAAAUUAAUUAAUGGAAAACAUGGUUUGGGAGCACUGCCCACAACCCUCUCUGCUUGCUGGGGCUCAGCACUUCAAACCCCAAGUCUUACCCAUACACCCCUCAAGAGAGGAUGGUGUGGGGUCUGAUGGGGUUUCUCUGAAUUUCACCCUGAUUUUUUUUCUGAUGGGGAGUUUUAUCUCCAUCCUUCAAGUUUCCUUACCAGUAAAAUGACAGUAACAUUGCCAGCCUCAGCUGCAAGGUACCUGGAGCUCCGCUCACUGGGAGAGCUGUAAGACAACUAGCUAUUCUUACAAUAAAUUAGUAUUAUCAGUGUAAGAGAAGAAGCAGUUUCCACAAAAAGCAAUCACCAGCCUAUUGAAGCACUCUGGAAGAUCAAUGAUUUAAUCAAUCUAAUCUUUGCCAAGUAGUAGUCUGGAAAGGUCUGAGCUGCCAGAAACAGUCAGGCCGAUUUAUGUCUUGCCACAGUCCUGGUUUCCCACUGAGCCUGUCAGGUCCUGGCAAAAGGUCCUGUGUCCAGAAGUGUACUUUGAGAUUAGCAUGCUUGCAGAGUAACUCAUUUCCUUCAUAUUAAAUUAAAGCUAAUCUCAUACACAGUGGAAAGACAACAGGCAGGUGAAGCUGGCAUUGCAGCAAAGGGGUCCUUGUGGGGCUUGGAGCAGAAAUGGGGUUGCAGGAACACAGACAUACAAGGGUGUCUCGGCUCAGCUCUGCUGAGCACUGCAAAGUUACAAGGGCUCAGGGUUCAGUGCAAGAAGUAUGGCUGACAGAAAUCAUAGCAUCAUGGAAAGGUUUGGGUUGGAAGGGACUUUAAAGAUCAUCCAGUUCCAACCCCCUGCUGCUAGACCAAGCCCUGUCCAACCUGGCCUUGAACACUGCUAGGGAUGGGGCAGCCACAGCUUCUCUGGGCAGCCUGUGCCAGGGCCUCAUCAGCCUCACGGUAAAGAACUUCUUCCUAAUAUCUAAUCUAAAUCUACCCUCUUUCAGUUUAAAGUAAUUCCCCCUUGUCUUAUCACUACUUGCUCUUAUAAAACACUAUCUUGCUCUUAUAAAACGCUAUCUUGCUCUUAUCUAAUAACAUCUACAUGUCUGCUGGUGACGCCCUGUUGAUGUAAGUUGUUGGCUUCCUUUGCCACAGCAGCACACUGUUCACUCAUUGAGCUCAUGUCCACCAUGACCCCCAGGUCCUUCUCUUUGGAACUACUCCCCAGAAUGGUUGAUCCCUGCCUGUGCUGCACUCCUGGAUUGGGUUUACCCAGCUUCCUAUUUCCUAGCAAUUGCCCUGGAAACUUCCCCAACCCAGUACUCUCAGGAGCAAAAUCCAUGAGAAGAAAAAGCAGCCACAAAGCUUUCAUGACUUGAAACUCAUGGCCCAGCAAUGCCAGAGGAGGAUUUUGGUGUGAGCCAUCCCUGUGCCAACCUGCCUCUCUCCCACACCCUGCACAGCUUGGCCCCGCAGCCCCGGGAUGGGCACAGACCCCCUGGGUAACUCCGCAUCCCACGCCGAGCCUGCGGGCAUCCUUGGGCAGCAUCGCUACCCAUCUUCCUGCAGGUUAUUCACACAAAGGCUGCACAGACGAUUCCUCCUACGCACAGGCUGUGUUGCAAUUGAGCCAGACAAUAGCUGAUGUAAGAGGGGUGAAUAACCUCCCAGAACACUUGGGUGCUUUUCCAAGGAAGGAUGUGAGCAGCCAUGCCUGGAGGGUUGCAAUUAAUUCACAAUUAGGAUAAACUCCAAUUAGGCUGGUGUAGAAGGAAAGUGCUCCAGGUGCCUUGUUCUUCUGCACGGAGCACCUGCAAUUGGUGGAGCAAAUAAAGAAAAAUAAGAAAAAUAAUCCCAAACCUCA